UAGCAAGUCGACCAAAGGCGAAAGCAGUCAUCAAGGGCACGCCCGUUGAUCAAGAGCGAAAGUUAAGGGUUCGAAGACGAUCAGAUACCGUCGUAGUCUUAACUAUAAAUGAUGCAAACCAGGGAUAGGAUACUGUCCAUCUCGACUCUUCCCGAACCUUAAAGAAAUUAGAGUCUUUGUGUUCUGGGGGGAGUAUGGUCGCAAGGCUGAAACUUAAAGGAAUUGACGGAAGGGCACACAAAGAGUGGAACCUGCGGCUUAAUUUGACUCAACACGGGAAAACUCACCAGGUCCAGAUACACGCAUGAAAGUCAAGCUGAAAGACUUUACUCAAUGAUGUAAGUGGUGGUGCAUGGUCGUUCUUAGUUCGUGGAUUGAUUUGUCUGGUCGAUUCCGAUAACGAGCGAGACCCCGGUGUUCCUAAUAGGGGCCGAAGCCCGUUCGCUGUAACAGGUGGACAGCUAAGGCUUAAGAUGUACUUCUUAGACACAUCAUGGCUGAUAAAGUCAUUGAAAUGGGUUAAUAACAGGUCAGUAAUGCCCUUAGAUGUUCUGGGCCGCACGCGCGUUACAAUGGCAUGUAAAACGAGUGCUUUUUAAGGCGUUUCCUGGGCCUAACGGUUCAGGUAACCCUUAAUCCAUUGCUUUGACUGGGAUAGAUCAUUGCAAUUAUUGGUCUCUAACGAGGAAUUUUUAGUAAGCGUAGGUCAUUAACCUAUGCUUAAUGAGUCCCUGCCCUUUGUACACACCGCC
This 752-nucleotide ribosomal RNA is filed under the name Nannengaella sulphurea. Its description in RNAcentral is "SSU rRNA". It matches the Rfam family "Eukaryotic small subunit ribosomal RNA", at positions 928 to 1673 of the family's 1831-position model. The record is from RNAcentral. Lineage: Eukaryota; Evosea; Eumycetozoa; Physariida; Physaraceae.